This is a non-coding RNA of Acanthosepion pharaonis, 105 nucleotides long. The record is from the annotation of a GenBank genome assembly. Lineage: Eukaryota; Metazoa; Mollusca; Cephalopoda; Sepiida; Sepiidae.
UAUCAUGUUGAAACACCGGUUCGCGUACGAUCACCGAAGUUAAGCAAAGUCGAGUUUGGUUAGUACCGAGAUGGGUGACUGCUUGGGAAUAACAGGUGUGGCAGG